CACUGACGACAUUCAGAUCCUUCUGUUCUCCGCCACUGCCCUGCCCACCUCCCUCCCCUUCCUCUCUCUGUUCUCUCCUUUCCUCCUCCUGAAUAACGGUCAGAAACCGACUUCCUCUGACCACGCGCAGAACGGGGCUGUGUGACUACCCGGGGCAAGUGUCCUGCCCUGCCCACACAGCAAAAUAAAUUCAAUAUGUCGACCGCGAUGUCCCGUUAUAACGGAUUUAACGGCUCUCUGGCAAAGCAAGCGGGAUGAGUUUUAAGUUAUAGCUUGCUCGGUUGUUUGGAACAUUUUGAUUCUUGACUUUCUUCAUUUUUGUUUAGAAAACAAUAAGAUCCCCGCACGCCACAUGGAAAGCAAAAAGGAAGUGCAACUAGCUGAGGAAAAAUGGAGUAAAAAGAACACGGAGAGGUUUAGAAAGUAAAUAAUCAUCUCCUUAUCCUUUAUCCCUGGCUCGGCACUGGAGAAGCCUCUUCAGAAGAUUGUGAAUGAUGGUGUGAUGGUGUUGGAGGAGGAGUGUGGAGGUGUGUGUGAGCCAAGCCAGGGGGAAGCACCAUGCAGGCAGGAGGAGAGAAAGCGGCCAUCUCCCCAGGGUGUCCUGCUAUCUCUAGGCCCGGUGAUGAUGAAGGUUGGACCGGAUACGCAGAGAGAUGUCUGAGGACUCUGUGCGAGUGCCCCCCUCUCCACCCCUCCCCUUGCCCCCCACCCCUCCUCCCUGGGACCUGGAGGCACCCCCCUCCUACGACUCUGUCAUGAAGAGCCGGGGUCCCUCUGACCUCUGAGGGCUGAGGAGACUACUAUACUCUACUGUUCUGUAACUUUGGACUAUUCCCUUUGUGCCAUUACAGUGAAGUAAAUCAAGCACACCCGUGCUGGGAGAGACGUUGUUCUGGAAUGGAGGGGCUGUAAGGGGUUGGGCGCCUCAGCGUUGUUUACAUGUUAACAUGACAGGUUUACAUAUUUGUUUGAAGAAUGAGGAGUGUGUUUAUAAUGCUACUAUUAAGACUACUACAGUGUGGUACACUGCACUCCUAUAAAGACAUAUAUAACAAAUAUAUUUUUUUUUCUUACUUUCCACCACCUGAAGUUGUUUAUGUCACUUUUCAAGUCCGCUCGAUGCCCAUAUAUUUGUAGUGGCACACUGAGCUACACCAGGCAGCGAGGCCAGCUGGCAGCAUCUACCCAGCACUAAGCAUUCUCUAUGCAGCAGCACUCAGCCUUUAUUACCAGUCCAAAUGGAUAACCCAGCCUUUAAAACCACUGUCUGACUUUUUUGCUGCUUUGGACUCCAUUAGCUGUUUGUGCUGUGACUGCUUGGGGAGGUUGUGUCAUUCUCCAGUGUGUGAGUGCGGGUGUGUUUCUGUGGUCAUGUAUGCACCACGGAUUCUUUCUAUUCACACAGCUGACAUCAGGAUAGACGGAAGAUCUCAACCAGAAGUGCCUUGUUGUUACAGCACUAGACGCUUGUUGUCACAGCACACGGUUAUCCACAGCAUUAUUCUCUCUCUCUCUGCCCCAUUGCUGCAGGGUUCCAUUCUAUCCACUGUUGCACUUCCUGUUUGACUGUGAUGUCAUGAUCAACUUUAG
RNAcentral lists this long non-coding RNA (1590 nucleotides) under Salmo salar (Atlantic salmon). RNAcentral describes it as "lncRNA (ENSSSAG00000098106.1, ENSSSAG00000109647.1)". The record is from RNAcentral. Lineage: Eukaryota; Metazoa; Chordata; Actinopteri; Salmoniformes; Salmonidae.